GAGAUGUUUGUCCAAGGCAGAAAGUUAUUAUUUUUCAGUAGUAAUGAUAGCUAACAUUUACAUGGCACCAAUCUCCACUGAAAGUGCUUAAAUGGUAUUAACUCAUUUAACCUCCCAACAAACCUAUGAGAGACACGUUGUCGACCCUGAUCUACAACGCCAGACCCAGAGAUUUUGAUUCACUGAAUGCUGAAUUACUAUUGAAUAUUCAAAACACCUGAAGGCCAGACUUCUAUCAUUCCAUUCAGGAGCUCCUACUGGGGCAGUUAGAGGCUGAAGGAUAAAAUGUGAACUCACCCUAUGUCUGAAGCUGGGGAAAGCCCAUAGUGACUCAUCGCCACAAUCUGGAUCUGUCUGAUGCUACCGCCAAGCAUAAACAGGGCUGCUGAGCACGCAGGGUGAAGUCAUCUCACCGCAUAUAUAGCCAAGACAUUCAGACAGUGACCAUGAUGGCUACUAGAGAAGAUAGUUUUCUGACUCUGCUGCUCUUGGCUCCUCGACAAAAGCAGAGAAGAAAUCGUAAUCCCUGAUCCAAGAUCUGUGAGCAGCUUCUUCAAACUGCCAGGGUCACAAAGCCUUUAGAUAAUGUCCCCCCUGUCCUGUUUGGUUUUGUUAAGUAAGCUACACAGAGGGAAGCGGUGCUGAAUAUUUCCUGGACAGAUUCUUUCUCUUGCUGAGGGAGACCUAUAUACACAAGUAAUGAGAAGGCACUAAGAGGGAAAGAUUUGAAGGAAUGAAAAGGAUAGUGAGGGCGUGGUUGUCCACAAUCCAACUCCAACCAAGGACAGAUGAAUGAUGUUUGGCUGUCAUUACAAGAAGCUCUGGUUGACAAAUACUGUCUGGUAUUUCCUUACUGAUUUCUUACCCUCAC
Kogia breviceps (pygmy sperm whale) is the source of this 871-nucleotide non-coding RNA. NCBI's taxonomy places the organism in Eukaryota, Metazoa, Chordata, Mammalia, Artiodactyla, Physeteridae. The record is from RefSeq and is a predicted model, not a curated record.